Long non-coding RNA from Neoarius graeffei (lesser salmon catfish), 492 nucleotides. RefSeq lists it as uncharacterized. The record is from RefSeq and is a predicted model, not a curated record. NCBI's taxonomy places the organism in Eukaryota, Metazoa, Chordata, Actinopteri, Siluriformes, Ariidae. The transcript has 3 exons.
GGACAUUAGAACUAAAAAUAACGUCCACACUCUGACUGGCCACACCAACACAGUCACCACGGUGAAGUGUCAAAGUGUCGAGCCUCAAAUAAUCACAGGGAGCUAUAACACCACCAUCAGACUGUAGGAUCUGAUCACUGGGAAGAUGAGAGCCACGCUGACCAAUCACAAGAAGUCUGUGGGAGCACUGGUGCUGCAUCCGUGACACCGAUAAUGAUGGGACAGAAGGACGGGGUACAAUUUCCAGCAGAUCCACACGGCCGUGCAACCCAGCUCUCUGGACAGUGAGUCGGGGAUUUUCUCCUGCGUGUUUGAUCACUCCGGGAGUCGUUUGAUCACGGCUGAGGUGGACAAAACCAUCAAAAUGUACAAGGAAGACGACAUGGUGAUGCACUGUUUAAAAAAAAAGAGAGAAAAAAAGGCUUCUCCAACUUAAAAAUGUUUAGUGACCCAUUGCACCUAAAAUUUUUGGUUGGCUCAGUGGAAGUUGUG